Molecule: transfer RNA, 96 nt
Filed under: Staphylococcus agnetis
Lineage: Bacteria; Bacillati; Bacillota; Bacilli; Caryophanales; Staphylococcaceae
Description: tRNA-Glu
Rfam family: tRNA (bases 5-85)
About the family: Transfer RNA (tRNA) molecules are approximately 80 nucleotides in length. Their secondary structure includes four short double-helical elements and three loops (D, anti-codon, and T loops).
Source: RNAcentral
CCCUUGGUCAAGCGGUUAAGACACCGCCCUUUCACGGCGGUAAGCUAUCGGCUGUUAACCGAUCGGUCGUAGGUUCGAGUCCUACCUGUGGAGCCA